Long non-coding RNA from Bombyx mori (domestic silkworm), 1865 nucleotides. RefSeq lists it as uncharacterized. NCBI's taxonomy places the organism in Eukaryota, Metazoa, Arthropoda, Insecta, Lepidoptera, Bombycidae. The transcript is spliced from 3 exons. The record is from RefSeq and is a predicted model, not a curated record.
CAUGUUUGAAUAUUCCUUUCUGAAACAAGGUUGUAUCGACCAGCCGUGCGAUUCUCUAAAAUUCAAACAAGAACUCGCAUCUCACUACGAAAUUCUCCAUCACUUCGCAUUCGCAAUAGAAUGACCUUGAUUUGGCAUUCUGUAAACACUAAUCUUAAUUACCCUGCCUCGAGCGAAGUGAAGUGACAACGAAGUUUGUUUACAAUACUACUAGGGAUAGCCGUAUACACGCAAAUGUAAAUCGAAGCUUACCGGUUUCAGUUUUUCUUUGUAUUUAGAAGCAUUCUGUAAGAAAAUACUAUGAAUUUAAGCUUUGGUGUCUAAACCACAUCUAAUAUAUCUAAAAAGAAAAUUAAAAGUCAUAUAUUUAUGAAAUUAAUUGUAAUUUCUGGCUGUACGCUAAGUUCCUUUGCGUGCACUGGCGAAUUCCAGAAUUAAAAAACAAAAUUUUAAUUGUUUUCAAAACAAUUUCGAGCGGUCGGAAGUUUUUAUUUUGCUUUUUCUAGAUUUGUUGAUACUUUGUGAGUGAAUUUAACGUUAAAUAAAAAUUAUGAGAUUUAAAGAGCGUUCUUCUCAUCCGACAUUGGCGCAAAUAGAGGCAUUGAUAAACGUUUUGGGUUAAAAGCUAGCGAAACAAAAGGAUUAAUCGAAUCUCAACAUGUUCAAUAAGAGAACAAGGAUAUUAGAAAAAUAUAGGAACUAAAUUCUCUUGUCAGUUAAGAUCCAUUCCCGGUGAGAUAUUUAGGACAUGUUAACAUAUAUUUAUGUAUGAUAUAUCUAUCUACUACGUUUUUAUUGAUGUUCUAUUUUAACAGGGCAUGAAGGUAAUUUAUUUGUAUCUCAAAUUCACCAACAAAAAAAUUAUUUUGAAUUAAAUAAAUCAAAUCAUUAACAAUUUAGGUAUUGCAAGUUAGAUUGAUGUUGUUGGAAUGUAUUUAUUGAUGCAGAGGUGACUGUAUCUAUGGUAAAGGGUGUGCAUACUGGUACAGGGGUGGCAGGCAGUGCCAGAGUAUUGACUAAACUGACAUUAUGUUGGCUAAAGGCUGCAUACUCAGUUUAAAAUAAAUGAACAAAAUUUAGGCAUAACCUAUUUUAUUAUAUUUAAGGAACUACAACAGAUUGAAAAUACUAAUCCACAUCAUCAGAAUAUUGUAAGGAGAAUUUAUAGCCAACUCGGAAAAUGUAUCAGUAUUGGAACAAUCGCAAACAUACAGCAUUGCAUCAAGAAUCACCUAUUUUGCAGUCAUCAUCCUCUAACUAAAUGCAAGUAACUUCUACUUAUUGUGAUGCUACUACUAGUAGCUCCAGCCACAGUAGGUCUCACAUGUUAGUCAAGAGAUUGGGUUGAUAUGUGUUUAUUCAGGUCAAAGUACCUAUUCAUUGAACCACCAUAUUAGGGACAUUGAUUUGUGUAUAAUGCUGUUACUUGUAAAUAAAAACAUUUUGUUGCAUGUAUUGUAAACAUUGUAUUUUACCUAACCUUGUUUUUAAAUAAAUUUAUUAUUUUUUUCAGCACCUCAACACCUGACCUGCUAUUUCACCACUUUUACAAUGAAAAGCAGAGUGUACUCAAAUUACUGAGAGAAUUUUGUGGAUAGAGGAACUGCAGGUGAAGAUUCAGGGUGUUCAUAUGUGUGUCGUCCAAAGCAUUUUUGAACACAGUACCAUAUAUAACUUAAUGAAACUUACAACCAUGGGGGAAUGAACAGUCGACAAUCUGCAAGAAGGAUGAACUGUUGGUGGAAUUAGCACAUGCAGCUAGCAAUUUUAAACCUGUAUUUCCACAUAAGUUACUGAUGCAAACAAAUUUCAAAAUUAUUGUAUAUAACUAUUGAAUAAAACUAUAAUAAAACUAUUUUUAUAAA